This is a long non-coding RNA of Passer domesticus (house sparrow), 440 nucleotides long. RefSeq lists it as uncharacterized. Lineage: Eukaryota; Metazoa; Chordata; Aves; Passeriformes; Passeridae. The transcript has 3 exons. The record is from RefSeq and is a predicted model, not a curated record.
ACACUGUGACACUGUGACACUGCCAGGUGUGUGUGUGUGACACUGCCAGGUGUGUGUGUGACACUGCCAGGUGUGUGUGUGACACCUGAGAGAGCAACGGCGGCGCUACAGGUGAGGGACAGGUGACACUGUGACACUGCCAGGUGUGUGUGUGACACUGUGACACUGUGACACUGCCAGGUGUGUGUGUGUGACACCUGAGAGAGCAACGGCGGCGCUACAGGUGAGGCACAGGUGACACUGUGACACUGCCAGGUGUGUGUGUGACACUGUGACACCUGGGCGUGUGUGUGUGAUACUGCCAGGUGUGUGUGUGUGUGACACCCUCAGGUGUGUCCCAUUCCCCCAGCUGUCCCCAGGUGUGACCCAGGGGUGUCCCUGUCCCCAGGUGUGUCUGUGUGUCCCAGGUGUCCCCAGGUGUGUCUGUGUGUCCCAGGUGU